RNAcentral lists this ribosomal RNA (404 nucleotides) under uncultured bacterium. Its description in RNAcentral is "bacterial SSU rRNA". It matches the Rfam family "Bacterial small subunit ribosomal RNA", at positions 355 to 776 of the family's 1533-position model. The record is from RNAcentral.
UGGGGGAUAUUGCACAAUGGGGGAAACCCUGAUGCAGCGACGCCGCGUGAGUGAAGAAGUAUCUCGGUAUGUAAAGCUCUAUCAGCAGGGACGAAAAUGACGGUACCUGAGUAAGAAGCCCCGGCUAACUACGUGCCAGCAGCCGCGGUAAUACGUAGGGGGCAAGCGUUAUCCGGAUUUACUGGGUGUAAAGGGAGCGUAGACGGUCAUGCAAGUCUGGAGUGAAAGGCGGGGGCCCAACCCCCGGACUGCUCUGGAAACUGUAAGACUAGAGUACAGGAGGGGUAAGCGGAAUUCCUAGUGUAGCGGUGAAAUGCGUAGAUAUUAGGAGGAACACCAGUGGCGAAGGCGGCUUACUGGACUGAAACUGACGUUGAGGCUCGAAAGCGUGGGGAGCAAACAGG